GAAACAAUACUAUCAAGGAGAAAAAUAAACAGGGAUAAAAUGGAAAGUGAAGAGGAGACAAUGGUUGUGCAGGAUCAUAACAAACUGCAUACACGGCAAGAGGAGAGAGGAGGUAGGGAUGUGAAAAUUUGGGACAGGGUUAAUUUGGGAUAUUUUGGGGGCUGAUGUUGCCACAGAGCAGCUUCUAAUUCUCUGGUUUAGAUCUUAUUUUUUGGCAUUUAUUGUUUCUGCUCAGACUUGUAACCAUGGGUUAACGUUAAAGUUUUACUUGAAUUGAAUAAAAGAAUAGUUCCUAGAAGAAAUUCUUUUACA
Molecule: long non-coding RNA, 312 nt
Filed under: Vigna radiata
Lineage: Eukaryota; Viridiplantae; Streptophyta; Magnoliopsida; Fabales; Fabaceae
Description: long non-coding RNA (VRAD_LNC014798)
Source: RNAcentral